Molecule: long non-coding RNA, 8687 nt
Filed under: Triticum aestivum (bread wheat)
Lineage: Eukaryota; Viridiplantae; Streptophyta; Magnoliopsida; Poales; Poaceae
Description: long non-coding RNA (TAES_LNC021851)
Source: RNAcentral
GUAACUCUGUUGAAUUACUCUCCUAUAUAUCGUCACGUAUAGAUGGUACGUUCCUUUUACAGCGAGCUGUACGUGUUGCACAGCACAUCUUAUCUAUUCUACAGUUGCAGAGUUGCCUAGGAUUAUGUUCUCAGCAUUUCCUUCUUUGGUCACCUGUGCAGGUUCUGGGUCAGCCACCAAGUUUCCUCUGUUCUGCAUAUUUUGUUUCGUUUGACAUCCAACAAGUCUGGAAGCGAUCUCUUUAUAGCGUCACAUAUAACUGGUACGCUUCUUUUCAAGUCUCGUGCAUUUACUUGGGGCUCAUUGACACCGGUUAGUCUGAAGUGCAUCGGCUAUAAACAUGGGUAUUUUCGAUUAUCUAAAAUUCAUUUCAUCAGGACAUGCAUUUCCAUGAAAAGAAAAUCAUCCCAUCUGCAUCAACAUUGAUGUCGUAGUGAGACCGAGAGAAGCCGAAGAAAACUUGCCAAGUCCUUUUUCCCAUUCUCCCGCGCAACCCAUCCUAUGGCGGCUCCAGGACUGAAAUCCUAGUUCACCCCCCUCCCCCUCUUGCGCUUGAGUCUUGUUUUGUCUCCAUUGGCUAGAGGUGAACAGGGCGAGGCAUGUCACAUGUGGUGAUGGUGGCGUGCGACAAUGGUGACGACGGCGAGGCGCACCAUGGGAACAGUGGAGACAGGCGAUGCCGGAGACACGUGGGUGGCGGUUGGCGCUAUGUGGUGGUGAUGACAAUGGUGUAGGUGCCAAAGUGCGCAUGGUUGGGCGGUGGGGUGCCAGGGGCACAGUGGCGGUAGGCGGUGCUAGAGUCACCUGGGUGGCAUGCGAUGGUGAUAUCAGCACAUGGCGGUGGCGGUGAGAUGCAUAGGGUGGACGGUGGGGCGCACCAGGGCACGAUGGUGGUGGGUGGUGGCGAUUGGCCAGUCAUAGGGGUGGCGUUGGUGGACUAGAUGCACGGUGGUGGCAAGUGGUGUGCCCGCGGCGGACGUGUCGGUCUACUUGUUAAGCUCCGACGACGACAAAAAGCGCAAGGAUCGCGGCGGCAAUGGAAGAUUCGGAGGAAGAGGAUGCGCCAGCGAAGGAAGAUGCAGAGGAGGCCGCUGGUGGUGGCGAGUGGUGUGCCCGGGGCGGAUGUUGUGUCGGUCGACUUGUGGAGCUCCGACGACGACAAAUAGCGCGAGGAUCAUGGCGGCAAUGGGAGAUUCAGAGGAAGAGGAUGUGUCGGGGAAGGAAGAUCAGGAGGAGGCCGAUGGUACCGACGAGGUAUGCAUCCCCUCGUGGGAGGAGGCGGAGAGGGAGUAUGAGUGGGCUCUACCCAAGGAGGAGCACCGGGUGGGAUGUCGGGCUCAUCGCGCACGUCGUGUUGGAAAGGUCCAUCAGCGACGAGCGUGAGAUAGUCGAGAAUCACCAUGACAGGAGUCAAUAGCAAAAAACUACCACAUUACGGGUCAUCGUUCAAAAAAACUACCGCUUUUUUAAUCUUUUCAAAAAGCUACCACAAAAUUGUUCUGCUGUUACAAAAAACUACCAUGUCGCACUGAUGACUACUUUGGUUAACUUUAAACGUUAUUAUGACAGGUCGGGUCCACUUGUCAGGUUGAUUGUUUGAUUUGACCGUUAGUUUGACCAUUGACAGGUUAUGACAGGUGGGGUCUAAGUAUUUUUUUAGCAAAUAGGUCCCUGAAACAAAAUAUAAAAGCAAUCAGGUCCUUGAUUUUUUUUUUAAAAAGCAAUCCCGUCCUCCCGGGGAGCUCGUCGCCGGAGCCGGCCAGUACCACACCGGCGAGCUCGUCAGGGCCGUCCAGCUCUGGCCGUGGCCGGCGGGAAGCAGCAGCCGCGGCGGGCUGGAACCGCCCGAGUUCCCUGGCUGCUCCCCGCCCGUGCUCGAGCUCGCGGCCAGCGGCGGGGCGGCUGCUCGUGGCCAGCGGCGGGGCAGACCUAAGCAGGCAGCGGCGCGUCCAUGACGUGGUGGUGGUCGGCCCUCGCGGCGGCGGCCGUGGUGGUGGCCGGCCCGGAGACGCUCCCCAUGGCGUGGUGGUGGCCGGACCAGGCGGCGGCGGCGGCCGUGGCUCCGUCGGCCAUGGCGCUCGGGAUUUCGAGUGAUAAGGGAGGGAGAGAGGGGAGAAGAGAGAUAAGGGAGAGAGAGCACUUACAUGUGGGACCCAGUUGUAAGUUAACGGUAAACAAACAGUCAACAAACGGUCUGUUUAGUAGCGGGCCUGACCUGUCAUAAACGGGAUUAAUUCUAAGUCGGGUGGUCAUUUGGGUUUUUUGGAACAGCAGAACAAUUUUGUGGUAGCUUUUUGAAAAGAUUAAAACAGCGGUAGUUUUUUUAGAACGAUGACCCGUAAUGUGGUAGUUAUUUGCUAUUCACUCCCAUGACAGCAAGAACAAGAGCUGCUCUUUUAGCGCCGAUGACUCGAAGGUACCAUCGUGGAGCAUCCAUGAUGCCGAUGAGUCCGGCUCAGGGAAGGCGUAUUUGAUCUACCUCUCGUCCGAUAAGGACAAGCAAGUUUAUCUUGUUUUUAGCUCUAAAUCUAUGUUAAUUAGGUUGUAGUUAGUUUAAGUACUUGGUAAUUAGGUCGUAGUUAGUUUAAGUACUUGGAUAUUUAAUGUGCACCCUGAAAUCUAGCGUAGCGGCAUAGGUAGAAAUCUAGCUUUGGUGCUCGAAAGUCCGAGUAGGAAGUAGCUGUAGUAAUGGACUUUUAUUUGCUGUGACAGAAGUUGCAGAAAGUAAAAAACCAUGCAAGUGAUAAGCUCUUAAGAUGUCGGCACUCAUCAUUCAAUGUCUGUUAACACAUGUAAGUAGUAAAAUAAAUUUGAUCAGCUAGCAGUAGCACACUUCGUCUACUACCACACACACACACACACAGUGAGUCUCACAAACACAGUGGCUCAUUAAUGAGUACAAGUGGGACACCACAAAUGUUGAAGGCACCAGUCGCAAUCUCCAAGAAAGCACUAUUCGCAUUGCUCUUGUCCACGCGAACAGAUAGUACUACCACUCCAGUCUUGCUGCAGAACCCACUCAAACUUCCCUGACAUCGACCUCGGGAUACGAGCGAGAACCACCAUGUUUCAUCAUUGUCAUGAGUGCAUCAAUGACAUGGUCUGAGUCAUAGUUGAUCAAGUGAAGCAAUUGAUCAGUACCAGUUCCCGCGAGCCUUGUCAUGGAGGCUGGGUAGUUGGGAACUAGGUUGCCAUCCUCAUUUUGCUCAUAAACAAUGUAGUUUUUGAUGCGAUUAUGUCCUUCCUUUGCUGACAAGGCAUUGACUGAACCAUUCAUCUGUUGCACUGCUUUAAUCAAUUUGUCAUUCCAUCCGUGCACCUCAUAGUACUUGUGCAGCAGGGCAACAUAUAAAGCAAGGAAUGAUCUGCCCAUGCUAGACCAAUCAUGUAAGUGAUCGUUCAACUCUUCAUGAAGCGGGACUGCAUCCCCAUUCUCAAAGUUCUGCUCCGCAAACUGCAAGAACACCCCUGAACGUUGACACUCCCCAAAUAAUAUCAUAAAUGUCUGCAGCAAUCUAACUCUAUCAUAUAUCCAAUCUCCAAUACUAAUGCUGUUCUCUGGAGUGAAUAUUUUCAAGUGACAAUUGGUGGGGGUGAAAGCAAGGAGGCAUUCCAGUAAGUUCAGAGUUAUCCCUUGACCAAGAGUUAUCCCCACUUGCUUCGUGUAUCCACUGUCCCAACUUAGCUUAUUCCCUUUCAGAUCAAAGGGAAGGUUUACAUCCUUAAAGUGAAACCAUCCACCCGGAUUUUCCUUGGUUGGAACAACAUAGAAUGCGAUCAGAUAACCGUUACUUUGGCGAAAUAGAAGCCACAGCACAACCUUGCCGUCCAGCUCAAUCUCGACCAUGUUGUAUGUUUCCUGCAAUUCACAUUUGCACAUCAUUUCAACUCCUAGCCAUAUGUAGGAAAAGGAUAAGAAAAAGAAGAAAAAGAAUCAGCGAAUAUUACAUUUUCGGAAGGCUGCGUGACUGGAACUCCUUGAAUGCUCAUUGAUCUCACUUUCUUAAAGAGCUUGCGUCUAGCAUCCAGAACUUCCUUCAAACCAUCAUAGUUACUCUGAAUGGCGCCACGCUCGUCAAUGCUUUGAAUAUUGCCAUCCUGGUCAGUCUUCAGUCUCCAUAUUACGCUCUUUACAUCCUGCAGCAAAGAGGAAGCAACGAGCAUUAGUUUCUAAAAAUCAUUUGCUAUGCUUUAUCAACUUGCGGACAGAACUCAAGGUCAUAAAUAUAUUGCAAUCUAGCAUUUGCCUCUAUAUAUAUCCAAAAUUCUGAACCUACAGUUAAUAUGACAACUCCGAAACUGCUUGUCAAGUCACAAGAUAAUGAAUUAAAGUGUUGCACUGUUAUCUGCUGGUAGGUAUAACACAUAUGCCCAAACACACCGCUUCUACUCCUGCUUUUGCACUUAAGGUGAACAGAUUAGGUGAACAGAUUGCACAUAUGAUUCAUAAACCAAAGCAUACUGCUUCUACUCUACUUAUGCACCGAAAGGUAACAGAUUGCACAAAGAACUCUUUCAUGAAGAAUAUUGGAGCUUGCAUUUCAUGACAAUGAAAAGGGGCAAAUGAUAUUUUGCAUGUUUGUUCUCACAUUAAGUUAUGCAAAUAUUAAAAUAUACGAAUGUGUUGCUCAUAGUGGUUAAGUUCAAGGAAUAUGUAGUAUUCCUGUUAAUUCUUAGUUAACUUACAGACCUGUGAGAGGCUGUGUAUAUUAGUUUACAUAUAUAAUUCUAAUGAUGUCAGAAAGCUGUGAGAGGCAGUGGUCAUCUAACGAGCAGCUGUAAAUUAACUUUCUCUUUUGAAAUCCACAACCACAAUUAGUUAGCAGCAUGUCAAAUUGAAAAAAAAACAAGUGAGAGAGAAGAAUGCUUGUGGUCGUCCAACACACUGAUUAAGUGAUAUUUGGCAAGACAGAUUUCUUUAGGAAUUAGUUCAAAUUCAAACAAACAUAACUGAGCGUUCGAACCCAAAUUUCACCCUUUCAAACAAGUCCCGUGUGCAGUACCUGUAUGCUGAAAGAUUCUAUUCACUGCUGGCAUAGUCUGAAUAAUUAAGCAAUGAAAUUGCAAAACACCAUACAAUUUCAAUAGCAACAAGUGAAUGAUCUAGGGAUGUGUUUAGUUUGAGCCCCAACUAGCCCACCAAAAUUUUGGCAUGACUAAGACAAGGGCAUGGCUGAAAAUUCGGCAACUACUUGUUGUUUGGAUUAUAGCAAUUGCACCUACUAUUUUUUUUGGCAACAUGUAUUAAUUUUUGCUUAGUUUGAUUCCUAUUCAGCUAUCAUGUUGCGUUAACAAAAGCAGAAACAAAUGUUAAACAGAACUUAAUUAACUACAGUGUGGCAAAAGAAACUGAAUGGACCUGUAAAAAGAAUGUUAAACAGAACUUAAUUAACUACAGUGUGGCAAAAGAAACUGAAUGGACCUGUAAAAAGUGUGGAUCUUUAACACAGAUGUCACCAUGCACCUAAUUCUACCUAUCUCUGAAGACAUAGUUGAUUAUAGGAAAAGUCACAGCUGAUUAUACGGAGACUGAAACAACUAUAUUGACAUGGCUAAACAGGACUAGUUACACUUACAUGGCUUCAUACAUGGAAACUGGACACGCGCUUAAUGAUCUAUUCAAACUAUUGCUGGAUGAGAUGUCACCGCUUAUUGCUUCCGUCAACCGUCAACGUGAACUCAUGUAGUUAAUCUACCUCACUAAUUGCUUCAGUGUUGCAGUACAGAAUGAGGCCCCACAUAUGUGAAGCGGGCAAGCUGGUCUGCCAAAUAUUUGGCGAGUGCUUUAGCGCAAACGGCAUGCCCAGGCGUUGGCGAAAAUUACAUGGGAGCAUGAGGACUUGCUUUGGCGAACCAAAAUUUUGGCAUCUAUAUGCAAGCGGAAGGCAAAUCUCACAGACAAGUCACAAAAUUGGUAUGGCUAGUAUUGGUAGUAACCAGACACCUGAAGUCUUACCAAAGAUAAAAUUUACUUUCAAAGUCAAUUAUAUUGGCGUUGCAACAACUGGCAAUCCCUUGCAAGUUCAUAAAUUCAGUUACUUUAUUGACUGUCCCUAAAUACCAGACCGGUCAAAUUCAUCAAAACCUGCUUUUUAAGCUAGACGCAGCACAAGCAAGUAGAUAUUCGCCCAGAUCUACUUUUCAAGUAAAUAUCCUAGCCGGAUGUAGAAAAUAUCCUAUCAUUUCACCAGAUCUAGAGAUACGAAAGAAUAUUUGGAAGCCGAAGAUGGCAGGGGGGAUGGAUUGGUAGAUGCAUACCGAAAUGCUGGUCUGCUUGCAAGCAAUCGACCGCCUCGAGGCCUCCUGAAAAGCCAAAUCCUUUUUCUUCUGCACCGCAUCCCCCGCCCCACUACUCUGGCUGCUAUCAGAUGGCCGACUGCUGCUACUGAUAGUUGCCCUCGUCCCUCCGCGGCUGCUGGAUUCGUUGACCGACGCUCCUCCUUUCUUCCCCCCUUCCCCCCGGCCAUGUGUAGCGCCGCGCCGCGCCUCCCACCGCCCCUUCCUCUUAGUGCAAGCGACGAAUCUGUGGAGAGAGUAGAAGCGGAGGAGCACUUGCGGUGACUGUAAAGUCGACACCUUUCUACUGCCUGCCCGACUAAUGCUUCUCAAGAGAGGAUGUUUUAGGAUAUCUCCAAGGCCGGCCCUCAAAAGGCCUGUUGUGCCAUUCAAUAUGGGCCUGUAUCGGUCCAUCGAGUGACUCAGGCGUGUUUUCUUUCACAAACGAAACCAAAGACAAACGUGGGGAUUUGCAAGCCUCCGGACCACUCCCAAGUCCACGUCUGACCGCUUUGGCCCACCCAAAUCGUCCCCUCGUCCGCGAUCGCUUCCCACCUGUAACGGUUAGCGCCGCUUCAGAGCGCCAGUGCCGCAUUCAUGCUCGGCUAGAGUGUACGUAAUUUCUCAUUGUCGCCGGCAUUGAAGCGGCAUAUAUGUCGAGAGACCGUUGCCCACGCUACUUCCCGGUGCAGGCGACUGCUCCGCGUUCAGACGACACCGAGACAAGAUACGAACUAUCCUAUGUGACCUUGAGAAGAUAUAUCGUCCAGCCUUAUUUGAUGUGAUGCUGCAUUUGACUAUUCAUCUACCUGAUGAGGCACUACUUAGAGGUCUAGUACAGUACGGCUGGAUGUACCCUAUUAAAAGGUGGCUAUGCACUUUCAAGGGCUAUGUUAGGAACAGAGCUAGACCCGAGGGUUUCAUUGCAGAUGCCUACAUUGCUACAGAAGCUUUGUCAUUUUGCUCAAAAUACAUUGAAACAGCCGAUCAGCUUAGCAAAGAGGUGGGUGAAGACAAUCCCGGGCUCAAUGUUUUCGAUUAUUCUGUUUGAGUCACAGGGAAGAGUCGACAAGAGGACAAAACCUAAAGAUUUGGACAAAAUGGUUUGGUAUCUGUUGAAUAACUAUUCUAAGAUACUACCUUAUAUCAAGUAAGUGCUUACUGUAGCUUAUACAUCGUAAUCUACUAAACUUGCAGCACAUUAUUAUAUAUUUAGAUGUUUGACGCGGCCACUAUGUUGUGCAGCAUCUACAAAAAGGAGUUACUACCGCAAAAUCCAAGAAACAUUGACAAACUGGUUAUGACAGGAUUUGCGAAAUGGUUCAAGAGCCAUGCAUGCUUUUGAAUUGCACUGUCAGUUUUUUUAAUAUAUUGAGUACAUAAGAUGAUCAGCUUGUCUAUUUUUUAACCAUAGGUUAAGAAGAUGCGGGAGAAUGGGCAUGCAGUUGAUGAUGCCCUUUACGCACUAGCGACGGGUUCUGAUACUCGGGUAAGACAUUAUGAACCUUGCGUUGUCGGAGAUGUGCGCCACAACACCCUUGCACACGAUGAAGGCAGGAAGACACAAAACAGUGCCAUCAUGAGCACUGAUACGUACGGCAAAGAGACAACUGAAAUGUAUGCUAGCAUAACAGACAUUGUUUAGUUGCAGUAUAUCUCCAGUUUCGAGGAUCAUCAGUGUGUGGUUCUGUUGUGCCGUCGUUGGUAUAACCUGUUUUCCAGGAUCGCAAACCAGAGCUGGUGAUUAUUUCAAAUCCAUCAAUGUCAAGGCAGCGUAUCAGACCAACGAGCCUUUUAUUUUGGCAAAUCAAGCAACACAGAUAUUUUUCUUGGAAGACACAUUUGCACGUAGCGAUGACCGGAGAGUAUUGCAAUGGUUUGAGCAAAGGAAUUCAUUUAAUGAAGUUGCACAACAAGAUGAUGCUUAUACUACUGCUGACCUACAAUAUUCCACAGAUGUUCCUAAUAUCUUUGAGAAUUAUCAUGUUAAUGACGCUGGCAAAAAGAUUGUCUGUUGUGCUGUGGACAUACAAGAGUUGAUCAAAAAGAAGCCAACGUUCGAGGACAUUGAGGAUGAAGAAGAAGAUGACACUAUGGGAAUUACGAUUCAGACUGAUACACAUGGCAAAGAUGUUGACGCUGCUGCUGUGGAUGAUGAUUAGAUUGCUUUUGUCGUAUUUGCCUGUCAGAAGACGUUUUUUAUCUGCUAUGUAAAUUGUGUUUUUUAUGACAACUGAAACCUGAUGAACGUGUUGUUUAGUAUUUUGCUGUGAGAACAUCACUUCUUAUGUAUGUUGAUUUGUGUUUGGUGAUUGUAUGAUGACUAAAACAUGAUGACAUUGUCGUUUAGUUGUACUCAUAUUUGGUUGUGAAACUUGAAUUUGAUGACAUAGUUUCCUGUUGGACUGCAA